RNAcentral lists this ribosomal RNA (849 nucleotides) under uncultured bacterium. RNAcentral describes it as "bacterial SSU rRNA". It matches the Rfam family "Bacterial small subunit ribosomal RNA", at positions 642 to 1504 of the family's 1533-position model. The record is from RNAcentral.
AGUAUGAUAGAAGAAAAGCAGAAUUUCUAGUGUAGAGGUGAAAUUCGUAGAUAUUAGAAAGAAUACCAAUUGCGAAGGCAGCUUUCUGGAUCAUUACUGACACUGAGGAACGAAAGCAUGGGUAGCGAAGAGGAUUAGAUACCCUCGUAGUCCAUGCCGUAAACGAUGUGUGUUAGACGUUGGAAAUUUAUUUUCAGUGUCGCAGGGAAACCGAUAAACACACCGCCUGGGGAGUACGACCGCAAGGUUAAAACUCAAAUGAAUUGACGGGGACCCGCACAAGUAGUGGAGCAUGUGGUUUAAUUCGAAGAUACGCGCAGAACCUUACCAACACUUGACAUGUUCGUCGCGACUCUAAGAGAUUAGAGUUUUCGGUUCGGCCGGACGAAACACAGGUGCUGCAUGGCUGUCGUCAGCUCGUGUCGUGAGAUGUUGGGUUAAGUCCCGCAACGAGCGCAACCCUCACUUUUAGUUGCCAUCAUUAAGUUGGGCACUCUGAAAGAACUGCCAGUGAUAAGCUGGAGGAAGGUGGGGAUGACGUCAAGUCCUCAUGGCCCUUACGUGUUGGGCUACACACGUGCUACAAUGGCAUCUACAACAGGAAGCAAAACGGCAACGUUAAGCAAAUCCCGAAAAGAUGCCUCAGUUCGGAUUGCACUCUGCAACUCGAGUGCAUGAAGCUGGAAUUACUAGUAAUCGUGGAUCAGCGUGCCACGGUGAAUGCGUUCCCGGGUCUUGUACACACCGCCCGUCACACCAUGGGAGUUGGUUCUACCUUAAGGCAAGGUUUUAAACCCUUGACCACGGUAUAGUCAGCGACUGGGGUGAAGUCGUAACAAGGUAGCCGUA